GACGAACGCUGGCGGCGUGCUUAACACAUGCAAGUCGAACGGUGAAGCGCCUUCCUUUUUGGUGGGUGUGGAUGAGUGGCGAACGGGUGAGUAACACGUGAGUAACCUGCCCCCUUCUUCUGGAUAACCGCAUGAAAGUGUGGCUAAUACGGGAUAUUCUGGGUCUGUCGCAUGAUGGGUCUGGGAAAGAUAUUGUUUCGGUGGGGGAUGGGCUCGCGGCCUAUCAGCUUGUUGGUGGGGUGAUGGCCUACCAAGGCGGUGACGGGUAGCCGGCCUGAGAGGGUGGACGGUCACACUGGGACUGAGGCACGGCCCAGACUCCGACGGGAGGCAGCAGUGGGGAAUAUUGCACAAUGGGCGCAAGCCUGAUGCAGCGACGCCGCGUGAGGGAUGGAGGCCUUCGGGUUGUGAACCUCUUUCGCCAGUGAAGCAGGCCUGCCUCGUUUGUGGGUGGGUUGACGGUAGCUGGAUAAGAAGCGCCGGCUAACUACGUG
Molecule: ribosomal RNA, 494 nt
Filed under: uncultured bacterium
Lineage: Bacteria
Description: partial 16S ribosomal RNA
Rfam family: Bacterial small subunit ribosomal RNA
Source: RNAcentral